CAGUCGCCGCGGUAAUACGAGGGGGGCAAGCGUUGUUCGGAAUUAUUGGGCGUAAAGGGUGCGUAGGCGGUUUGAUAAGUCUUGUGUGAAAUCCCCGGGCUCAACCUGGGAACUGCAUUUGUGACUGGCGGGCUAGAGUAUGGCAGAGGGGGGUAGAAUUCCACGUGUAGCAGUGAAAUGCGUAGAGAUGUGGAGGAAUACCGAUGGCGAAGGCAGCCCCCUGGGCCAAUACUGACGCUCAUGCACGAAAGCGUGGGGAGCAAACAGGAUUAGAUACCCCGGUAGUCCCUGUCUCUUAUAC
RNAcentral lists this ribosomal RNA (301 nucleotides) under uncultured bacterium. Its description in RNAcentral is "partial 16S ribosomal RNA". It matches the Rfam family "Bacterial small subunit ribosomal RNA", at positions 509 to 807 of the family's 1533-position model. The record is from RNAcentral.